GCCUCUAAAUAAUUUCAAAUAUUCUUUCUGUAUUUUAUAUACAUAAUAAUUUAAUUCUUCCAUCAACAAUCUAUUAGCAAUUUCUUGCGACAUGAUUCUAUUGGGCAUCAGUAGAUUGUAAUCUGAAAGAGAGCAACGAUUUUUAUUAAAUAAAUUUUUUAGUUCAAUCAAAAUAUAAUCUCUUAAUUGGAAUUUUGGGA
This 200-nucleotide long non-coding RNA is filed under the name Elaeis guineensis (African oil palm). RNAcentral describes it as "long non-coding RNA (EGUI_LNC016316)". The record is from RNAcentral. Lineage: Eukaryota; Viridiplantae; Streptophyta; Magnoliopsida; Arecales; Arecaceae.